GGAGUGGAUCAUAUCAGGUAGAUAACAGAACUGCCACAAAGUGCUGUUUAUGACUAUAAUUUUAUGACAGUCAGGUUAAUGAUAGUCAGGUUAAUGAUAGUCAGGUUCAUGAUAGUCAGGCUUAUGAUAGUCAGGUUUAUGAGUCAGGUUAAUGAUAGUCAGGUUUAUGAUAGUCAGGUUCAUAAUAGUCAGGCUUAUGAUAGUCAGGUUCAUGAUAGUCAGGUUCAUGAUAGUCAGGUUUAUGACAGUCAGGCUAAUAAUAGUCAGUCUUAUGAUAGGCUUAUGAUAGACAGGUUUAUGAUAGGUUUAUGACAGACAGGUUUAUGAUAGUCAGGUCUAUAAUAGUCAGGGUAAAACAUAAAGAGAUGAGAGCAGCUGAGCUCUCUGUUCUGCUUCAAGAUGGAGCCUCCCCUCAAAAAAAACCAAACAAA
Long non-coding RNA from Anguilla rostrata (American eel), 431 nucleotides. RefSeq lists it as uncharacterized. The record is from RefSeq and is a predicted model, not a curated record. The transcript has 3 exons. Lineage: Eukaryota; Metazoa; Chordata; Actinopteri; Anguilliformes; Anguillidae.